RNAcentral lists this ribosomal RNA (245 nucleotides) under uncultured bacterium. RNAcentral describes it as "partial 16S ribosomal RNA". It matches the Rfam family "Bacterial small subunit ribosomal RNA", at positions 524 to 768 of the family's 1533-position model. The record is from RNAcentral.
UACGUAGGUGGCAAGCGUUGUCCGGAAUUAUUGGGCGUAAAGCGCGCGCAGGCGGUCUUUUAAGUCUGAUGUGAAAGCCCACGGCUCAACCGUGGAGGGUCAUUGGAAACUGGGGGACUUGAGUGCAGAAGAGGAAAGUGGAAUUCCAAGUGUAGCGGUGAAAUGCGUAGAGAUUUGGAGGAACACCAGUGGCGAAGGCGACUUUCUGGUCUGUAACUGACGCUGAGGCGCGAAAGCGUGGGGAG